Molecule: ribosomal RNA, 503 nt
Filed under: uncultured bacterium
Lineage: Bacteria
Description: partial 16S ribosomal RNA
Rfam family: Bacterial small subunit ribosomal RNA
Source: RNAcentral
AUUGAACGCUGGCGGCAGGCUUAACACAUGCAAGUCGAGCGGGGUGAUGGUGCUUGCACUAUCACUUAGCGGCGGACGGGUGAGUAAUGCUUAGGAAUCUGCCUAUUAGUGGGGGACAACAUCUCGAAAGGGAUGCUAAUACCGCAUACGUCCUACGGGAGAAAGCAGGGGAUCACUUGUGACCUUGCGCUAAUAGAUGAGCCUAAGUCGGAUUAGCUAGUUGGUGGGGUAAAGGCCUACCAAGGCGACGAUCUGUAGCGGGUCUGAGAGGAUGAUCCGCCACGCUGGGACUGAGACACGGCCCAGGCUCCUACGGGAGGCAGCAGUGGGGAAUAUUGGACAAUGGGGGGAACCCUGUUCCAGCCAUGCCGCGUGUGGGAGGAAGGCCUUAUGGUUGUAAAGCACUUUAAGCGAGGAGGAGGCUAUUUUGGUUAAUACCCAAGAUGAGUGGACGUUACUCGCAGAAUAAGCACCGGCUAACUACGUGCCAGCCGCCGCCGUAA